This 339-nucleotide unclassified non-coding RNA is filed under the name uncultured Sphaeropleales. RNAcentral's name for it is "sequence contains 5.8S rRNA gene, ITS2, 28S rRNA gene". The record is from RNAcentral. Lineage: Eukaryota; Viridiplantae; Chlorophyta; Chlorophyceae; Sphaeropleales.
AACGCAUAUUGCGCUCGAGCCCUCGGGCAAGAGCAUGUCUGCCUCAGCGUCGGUUUAUACCCUCACCCCUCCCAUUGUGUGGGUCGGUUGACUCGGUGUUAGUUAGCCGUAGGGGUGGAUCUGGCCUCCCCAAUUGGUUUUAUUACGAAUUGGGUUGGCUGAAGCACAGAGGCUUAAACAAGGACCCGACAUGGGCUUCAACUGGAUAGGUAGUACCGGCUUCUGCCGCCUACACGAAGUUGUAGCUUGUGGACUUUGUUAGGGGCCAAGCAGGAAACAUGCUUGAUUGCAUGCCCAAACUUUCGACUGAGCUCAGGCAAGGCUACCCGCUGAACUUAA